GGGUCGUUAGCUCAGUUGGUAGAGCAGUUGACUUUUAAUCAAUUGGUCGCAGGUUCGAAUCCUGCNCGACCCACCA
This 76-nucleotide transfer RNA is filed under the name Klebsiella pneumoniae. RNAcentral describes it as "tRNA-Lys". It matches the Rfam family "tRNA". From Rfam's summary of the family: Transfer RNA (tRNA) molecules are approximately 80 nucleotides in length. Their secondary structure includes four short double-helical elements and three loops (D, anti-codon, and T loops). Lineage: Bacteria; Pseudomonadati; Pseudomonadota; Gammaproteobacteria; Enterobacterales; Enterobacteriaceae. The record is from RNAcentral.